This 63-nucleotide transfer RNA is filed under the name Lasioglossum leucopus. Its description in RNAcentral is "tRNA-Thr". Lineage: Eukaryota; Metazoa; Arthropoda; Insecta; Hymenoptera; Halictidae. The record is from RNAcentral.
AGCUAAAUAGUUUAAUUUAAAACAUUAAUUUUGUAAAUUAAAAAUAAAAAAAUUUUUUAGCUA